AUUGAACGCUGGCGGCAUGCCUUACACAUGCAAGUCGAACGGUAACAGGUCUUCGGAUGCUGACGAGUGGCGAACGGGUGCGUAAUACAUCGGAACGUGCCCAGACGUGGGGGAUAACGAGGCGAAAGCUUUGCUAAUACCGCAUACGAUCUAAGGAUGAAAGCAGGGGACCGCAAGGCCUUGCGCGUUUGGAGCGGCCGAUGGCAGAUUAGGUAGUUGGUGGGAUAAAAGCUUACCAAGCCGACGAUCUGUAGCUGGUCUGAGAGGACGACCAGCCACACUGGAACUGAGACACGGCCCAGACUCCUACGGGAGGCAGCAGUGGGGAAUUUUGGACAAUGGGCGAAAGCCUGAUCCAGCAAUGCCGCGUGCAGGAUGAAGGCCUUCGGGUUGUAAACUGCUUUUGUACGGAACGAAAAGGCUCUGGCUAAUACCUGGGGCACAUGACGGUACCGUAAGAAUAAGCACCGGCUAACUACGUG
This 482-nucleotide ribosomal RNA is filed under the name uncultured bacterium. Its description in RNAcentral is "partial 16S ribosomal RNA". It matches the Rfam family "Bacterial small subunit ribosomal RNA", at positions 30 to 507 of the family's 1533-position model. The record is from RNAcentral.